GACGAACGCUGGCGGCGUGCUUAACACAUGCAAGUCGAACGGUGAAGGGGCUGGCUUUUGUUGGUCCUGGAUGAGUGGCGAACGGGUGAGUAACACGUGAGUAACCUGCCCCCUUCUUCUGGAUAACCGCAUGAAAGUGUGGCUAAUACGGGAUAUUCUGGGUCUGUCGCAUGAUGGGUCUGGGAAAGAUGCGCCUUUGGGUGUUUUUGGUGGGGGAUGGGCUCGCGGCCUAUCAGCUUGUUGGUGGGGUGAUGGCCUACCAAGGCGGUGACGGGUAGCCGGCCUGAGAGGGUGGACGGUCACACUGGGACUGAGACACGGCCCAGACUCCUACGGGAGGCAGCAGUGGGGAAUAUUGCACAAUGGGCGCAAGCCUGAUGCAGCGACGCCGCGUGAGGGAUGGAGGCCUUCGGGUUGUAAACCUCUUUCGCCAGUGAAGCAGGCCUGCUCCUUGGUGGGUGGGUUGACGUAGCUGAUAAAAGC
This 483-nucleotide ribosomal RNA is filed under the name Actinomyces sp. oral taxon 171. RNAcentral's name for it is "bacterial SSU rRNA". It matches the Rfam family "Bacterial small subunit ribosomal RNA", at positions 28 to 491 of the family's 1533-position model. Lineage: Bacteria; Bacillati; Actinomycetota; Actinomycetes; Actinomycetales; Actinomycetaceae. The record is from RNAcentral.